GCGCCUGUAGCUCAGCCGGAGAGAGCAUCUGCCUUCUAAGCAGAGGGUUGGGGGUUCGAGUCCCUCCAGGCGCA
Molecule: transfer RNA, 74 nt
Filed under: bacterium
Lineage: Bacteria
Description: tRNA-Arg
Rfam family: tRNA
About the family: Transfer RNA (tRNA) molecules are approximately 80 nucleotides in length. Their secondary structure includes four short double-helical elements and three loops (D, anti-codon, and T loops).
Source: RNAcentral